RNAcentral lists this ribosomal RNA (298 nucleotides) under Kryptoperidinium foliaceum. RNAcentral describes it as "partial Bacterial small subunit ribosomal RNA". It matches the Rfam family "Bacterial small subunit ribosomal RNA", at positions 791 to 1085 of the family's 1533-position model. Lineage: Eukaryota; Dinophyceae; Peridiniales; Kryptoperidiniaceae. The record is from RNAcentral.
UAGUCCAUGCCGUAAACUAUGAGUGCUAAGUGUUGGGAGGUUUCCGCCUCUCAGUGCUGCAGCUAACGCAUUAAGCACUCCGCCUGGGGAGUACGACCGCAAGGUUGAAACUCAAAGGAAUUGACGGGGACCCGCACAAGCGGUGGAUGAUGUGGUUUAAUUCGAUGCAACGCGAAAAACCUUACCUACCCUUGACAUGUCUGGAAUCCUGAAGAGAUUUGGGAGUGCUCGAAAGAGAGCCAGAACACAGGUGCUGCAUGGCCGUCGUCAGCUCGUGUCGUGAGAUGUUGGGUUAAGU